GCACUUUCCCAUAAAUAACAGUUUUUAUUGACUCAACGGAAUUUUAAUGAAACCACGAGAUAGCGAAGGCAAAAAAUUUUUUUUAUGUUGUUAUUGGAUAAUACUGGAAUGUAGAGCAUCCUUCGUAAGUUGUACGCAAAAGGUGGGCAAUUAACCGAGCGCCUCAGUGAUAAGAGCAUUCGGGUCGUGAAAAAUUGUGCAUAAACCGGCUACCUCCCUGUCGACUGUCGGCUAUUGUGACGUAAUAACUGGAGUGGAAAGACCCGUCAAUUAAUCAAAAGGAUGAGCUGGCCCUUCGGCGAAGGUCGUAUCAUUACCGCGAUUUUUUAUUAAUUUUCGGCGGAGUCUUAAUCUUAAUUGGAAGCUAGUGAUUGCGUGAGUGUGGUGAUUGCGGUGAAACAGGCGGUUCGGGAUUGUCACGGAAUUUAUCACUGCGGUGAUUAUUUAAUAUCUAGUGAAACAAUUGGCCGAUUGUCCAGCGAAUUUAUGGAUCGGAUUUGCGUAAUUUGCGAUAAGAAAUUCUUUUCCAGAAUUUUUUAUAGUAAACAAGGAGAAGAAAUCGGAAACGUUCAGCGAAUUCUCAGAAUUUUUUGUUUCGAAAGAAAAGUUCUCGGGAACCUCCGACCCUCCGCCAAAAUCUCGCGAUGUAAAAUCCAAUUCUUCCAUUCGAAGAAUCGAGUUAACAAAGGAGAGAAGGUAAAACUGUUCAACAGAGCGUUUCCAACUACUUCACAACUUUCGAACGGUCACAAACUCGAUUGCAUCGACUAGACUUGGGCCAGUGCAACGACAAAAGCCCUAGUGAGCCAUGAAUCCCACCGGAGCAUCCUUUCAACCCAAUUAAUCCGCUGACCAACCAUAUCAAAUUCAAUUAAAAAUUGUAACUUGUCGGGGACAAAAGCAGUGUAACACCUAAAAUAUAUCACAUAAUAGAAAAAAAUAUUCAAUGAUUUUUUACUGAUGAAUCGGAAAAUCCAAGAAGACGUUCAAAUAAAAAUGAAAUUUAAUCUGUCAUAAGUAUCUUCAGUUCAUGCGGUUUGAAUUGAAUUUAAUGCGACCCUUUGUCAAAUUACAACUGAAUUGUUCCCACAAUUUAGCCUUUGUUAUUGCCAAUCAUUCACCAACAACAUUGAAUUGAGGAAAUAGUUCGUGAGUUCAUGGCAAAGACAGAGAUUUCCGGAUGCGAUAACUCUGCUAUUUUCAGAUAAUGUGACGCACUUUACGUGCACUUUGAGGGAAAUUCUGAAGUGGAACGAGAAUGGCAAAGGGCAGACCUAUGUGAUCUUACACUGUCACCGCUCUCAGCAACUGCGGCGGGGGCUCCAUCGGAGGUGGAUAAGCCUUCUUCUUGUGCCUCAACCUCCUGUCAGUCCUGUCCUGUCGCGUCCUCAGCACGAGCAUCACAUUCCUCUCCAGAUCCAACAUGAUGCACUAUUCACUCUCCUUUUUUCUCGGCUGUCGCCGGAGACUUUUACUGUCAAUCGGUGUACCGUUAAAAAAAUACUAGCCACCGAUUUGCGACGCAGAUGAAUUCAUGGUGACAGAUCAAGAAGCCAGAGUGGACCCAAGAGGGCAAAGUAUCCGCAUUUAUUGGUCCAGCGUUAUCGUCGUCACUUUGUUAUCAUUGCCGAUGCUCGCGUGGCCCUCGUAAUAAUGUGACCACACGGCCGACAUUUGCUUUCCGGAUUUAUUGGCGCUACGGCGGGAACAUCUGAUCGUUCGUCCUGAUCAAUCGACACCAAUCGACGAGUAAUUGCAGGUGAACAAGACCAUGAGAUACCAUUUGCAUCACCAUGACGAGUCCCCAAGAGCGCUUUGACGAUCGGAGUAAUUGAUUCCCUUUCACGGAGACAAUAGAAACUCGAUCACUGUCACUGACAAUGAUACGAACCAACUGAUGUCACGUAUGUCAAUAUUCAUAUGUAGGUGCACUCAGGCAACAGGUGGCCGACAAGCCGGGGUGAACUGAUCCCCGGACACUUGAGAUUUGCCGAGCACAUAUAUUUUGUCAUCGAGAUCAUAUCAUUACGAUCGUGCAGCUAUUAAUAUUCUCCGGGAACGAAAAGAGAGCUCGAGGUGUUACUCGAAGUUUCGAUUUGGAAGACGAGUGAAACUGUCGAGCGAUAUCCGGUGGGAACUAUUAUAGAACCGAGAAAGAGAGGAUUCCUGAAAGGUCUCGUGACAAUCGUUGAUCCGGAAAAAUAUGUUUUCUUGAUUGAUUCGUAUCGC
Long non-coding RNA from Diachasmimorpha longicaudata, 2229 nucleotides. RefSeq lists it as uncharacterized. NCBI's taxonomy places the organism in Eukaryota, Metazoa, Arthropoda, Insecta, Hymenoptera, Braconidae. The transcript is spliced from 6 exons. The record is from RefSeq and is a predicted model, not a curated record.